Molecule: ribosomal RNA, 468 nt
Filed under: uncultured bacterium
Lineage: Bacteria
Description: partial 16S ribosomal RNA
Rfam family: Bacterial small subunit ribosomal RNA
Source: RNAcentral
GACGAACGCGGGCGGCGUGCUUAACACAUGCAAGUCGAACGGAAAGGCCCUGCUUUUGUGGGGUGCUCGAGUGGCGAACGGGUGAGUAACACGUGAGUAACCUGCCCUUGACUUUGGGAUAACUUCAGGAAACUGGGGCUAAUACCGGAUAGGAGCUCCUGCUGCAUGGUGGGGGUUGGAAAGUUUCGGCGGUUGGGGAUGGACUCGCGGCUUAUCAGCUUGUUGGUGGGGUAGUGGCUUACCAAGGCUUUGACGGGUAGCCGGCCUGAGAGGGUGACCGGCCAGAUUGGGACUGAGAUACGGCCCAGACUCCUACGGGAGGCAGCAGUGGGGAAUAUUGCACAAUGGGCGGAAGCCUGAUGCAGCAACGCCGCGUGCGGGAUGACGGCCUUCGGGUUGUAAACCGCUUUCGCCUGUGACGAAGCGUGAGUGACGGUAAUGGGUAAAGAAGCACCGGCUAACUACGUG